This 279-nucleotide long non-coding RNA is filed under the name Elaeis guineensis (African oil palm). Its description in RNAcentral is "long non-coding RNA (EGUI_LNC037886)". The record is from RNAcentral. Lineage: Eukaryota; Viridiplantae; Streptophyta; Magnoliopsida; Arecales; Arecaceae.
GCUGUGUAUGUUGGCUAUUGUAGGUUCAGAUUUGCUGUUUGGAGUAAGAUGUACCUAGAUAGAAUCUAUCGAUCUUGAUAGAAAAAGAGAAGUCCUAUGCGAUUCGCAAGACUGAGUUUGAGAAAUCUCUGAUUAGAGUAAGUGUGAAUACUGAAAAAGAGUUUUCAUGAGAUUUGCAGAUGAACUCGAGUCGAGCCAAUCUAGCAUAUGACUGAUGAUGGAGUUUGACGAGUUCUCCAUGACCUCCGUCAAGUUGAGACUCAUAAUAGAGGAAUUGUA